CCUACGGGAGACAGCAGUGGGGAAUAUUGCACAAUGGGGGAAACUCUGAUGCAGCAACGCCGCGUGAGUGAAGAAGUGUUUCGGCUCGUAAAGCUCUAUCGGCAGGGAAGAAGAUGACGGUAACUGACUAAGAUGCCUCUGCGAACUACGUGACAGCAGGCGAGGUAUUACGUAGGGGGCAAGCGUUCUCCGGAUUUAAUGGGGGUAAGGGGGGCGUAGACGGAGAUGCAAGCAAGAUGUGAAAGCCCGGGGCUCAACCGCGGGAUUGCAUUUGGAACUGUAUGACUUGAGUGACGGAGAGGAGGGCGGAAUUCCUAGUGUAGCGGUGAAAUGCGUAGAUAUUAGGAAGAACACCAGUGGCGAAGGCGG
This 369-nucleotide ribosomal RNA is filed under the name uncultured bacterium. RNAcentral's name for it is "partial 16S ribosomal RNA". It matches the Rfam family "Bacterial small subunit ribosomal RNA", at positions 338 to 724 of the family's 1533-position model. The record is from RNAcentral.